CUCAGUAGUUUCCUCCAACCAGUCAAGCAACGCAAAUCACAGACAUCCAAGAGCGCCCAGAACACGGGAGAGUCUCAGAUCUAAGGGGUUGGACGCUAGUUGCUGGACAUGACCCCAUGAUGCCUGACCUCGUGACCUCCUAGCAACAUCUGGGAGUUUUAUAAAACCAUAAUCACCCUGGUUUAAUGACAGGCAUAAGUUAAUGCUUGCCUGGUCCGAGAUCUGUUUGUGCUGUCUUGCCAAAAGAGCACAAAAGGACCAGGAUAGAUUGAUGGGAUGGUUGUUGUCCGUUUUUUUGUGACAACUAUAUUUCGCUUUAAGCAGUAUUGUGCACAUUUUUUUAAGAUUCUGUAAAUUUUACUGUACUUUCUCGUUGGGCUGGCCUGAAUAUUAUUUUAAGCUAAAACUCCAAAGAGUAACGAUAACAAAGUUAUUUAUUGUUUUACACUGAUUUUCCUAUUGACAGUUUCAUGUGUCUUUUUCCAACCUUGAUAUUCUUUGGAUUAUAUAAUGCUGAUGAGAAACCCCCCUCCUACUGUAGAAGAGUGGACUAGUCCUGCAUGGUUUAACCAGGGACAACUCAUCAUGGAUUAUUACAUUAUGCAUUAUCCAGGUACUUUCUCUGAUCUUAAAAUACAUAACAGAUGAAAGCAACAAAUUAUAAAAAAUAGUCAUAAACUAUCAUGGUUUUAUUUAAAAAGUAAUUGUUUAAAACAUAACCAUCAAAGGUCGAGUUGUGAGAGUCAGAUUGAAAUGUAUAUUUUGUGUAUAUAGUUUUAUAAUUGUAUCUCAAAUUUAAAAGAGGUCAACCAAAAAAUUUACAAGAAUCAUGAUCAUGACUGUUAUUGUUUCUAGUAAGGUGUGCAUCCUGUCAAAUAAGGAUAAAUUAAAAUCAUUGUAAAUAUU
Salvelinus sp. IW2-2015 is the source of this 906-nucleotide non-coding RNA. The record is from RefSeq and is a predicted model, not a curated record. NCBI's taxonomy places the organism in Eukaryota, Metazoa, Chordata, Actinopteri, Salmoniformes, Salmonidae.